GCAAUUUGGACCAGAAUUGUUACCCAAGAAAGUGUCCUUCGGGUGAACAUAAAGGGGAGGCAGAGAGGAAGCACAUUCAGAUGUAGAAAAUCAACCUCAAUUCUUCAAGGUAAAGAAACUCAGCAGAGCUUUGAAGAUCAAAAACAGGUAUGGCUACCUUACCCACGCUAGCCGGCAGCUGGCUCAAACUAAAACUAUGACGUGUUUUCCUUGUUUGUAUCUUAAGGAAUAGUAGUAGAACAUAAAACCAAGCUGGAAAAUAAAGCCGUGAUAUAAAGCCUUAA
This is a long non-coding RNA of Ahaetulla prasina, 284 nucleotides long. RefSeq lists it as uncharacterized. The transcript is spliced from 2 exons. The record is from RefSeq and is a predicted model, not a curated record. Lineage: Eukaryota; Metazoa; Chordata; Lepidosauria; Squamata; Colubridae.